Molecule: transfer RNA, 66 nt
Filed under: Henicus brevimucronatus
Lineage: Eukaryota; Metazoa; Arthropoda; Insecta; Orthoptera; Anostostomatidae
Description: tRNA-Leu
Rfam family: tRNA
About the family: Transfer RNA (tRNA) molecules are approximately 80 nucleotides in length. Their secondary structure includes four short double-helical elements and three loops (D, anti-codon, and T loops). Further hydrogen bonds mediate the characteristic L-shaped molecular structure. tRNAs have two regions of fundamental functional importance: the anti-codon, which is responsible for specific mRNA codon recognition, and the 3' end, to which the tRNAs corresponding amino acid is attached (by aminoacyl-tRNA synthetases). tRNAs cope with the degeneracy of the genetic code in two manners: having more than one tRNA (with a specific anti-codon) for a particular amino acid; and 'wobble' base-pairing, i.e. permitting non-standard base-pairing at the 3rd anti-codon position.
Source: RNAcentral
UCUAAUAUGGCAGAUAAGUGCAAUGGAUUUAAGCUCCAUAAAUAAAGGGAAAACCUUUUAUUAGUA